Mycena leptocephala is the source of this 88-nucleotide non-coding RNA. Lineage: Eukaryota; Fungi; Basidiomycota; Agaricomycetes; Agaricales; Mycenaceae. The record is from the annotation of a GenBank genome assembly.
GACUCGGUGGUGGAUGGACUGCGUCCACGAGACAUUAUUACUUUGAAAUUGACUGUAUAAGUUGCCUGUUCGAUUCAGGCCCGAGUCA